GUGCUCACACUGGCAGCACAUAUACGAAAUUUGGAACGGUGCAGAGAAGAUCAGCGUGGCCUCUGCUCAAGGGACAACACGCAAAUUCGUGAAGUGUUCCGCAUAUUA
RNAcentral lists this small nuclear RNA (108 nucleotides) under Mustela putorius furo (domestic ferret). Lineage: Eukaryota; Metazoa; Chordata; Mammalia; Carnivora; Mustelidae. The record is from RNAcentral.